RNAcentral lists this ribosomal RNA (379 nucleotides) under Calyptommatus sinebrachiatus. Its description in RNAcentral is "partial 16S ribosomal RNA". It matches the Rfam family "Bacterial large subunit ribosomal RNA", at positions 1927 to 2526 of the family's 2925-position model. The record is from RNAcentral. Lineage: Eukaryota; Metazoa; Chordata; Lepidosauria; Squamata; Gymnophthalmidae.
ACGGCCGCGGGAUAUUCCACCGUGCAAAGGUAGCAUAAUCACUUGUCUCCUAAAUAGAGACUAGUAUGAAUGGCCAAAUGAAGAUUUACCUGUCUCUUGAAGCCUAUCUAUGAAACUGAUCUUUCAGUACAAAAGCUGAAAUUUAAACACAAGACGAAAAGACCCUGUGGAACUUAAAGCCACAGCCAACAAAAUGGACCUAUUGCUUUUAGUUGGGGCAACUUUGGAAAAAAACAAAACUUCCAAUAAACUAUCUAGGCAGACACGCCGACAUAAAAUAAACUAGACCCAGUACAACUGAUUAAAGAAAAAAGCUACCCCAGGGAUAACAGCGCCAUCCCCUCAUAGAGCCCCCAUCGACGAGCGGGGUUUACGACCU